GUGUGUACAGGAUUGUGGGCUAACAGUGCAAUAUAUAUAAGAUUGCACUGUUAGCCCACAAUCCUGUACACA
This is a non-coding RNA of Podarcis lilfordi (Lilford's wall lizard), 72 nucleotides long. Lineage: Eukaryota; Metazoa; Chordata; Lepidosauria; Squamata; Lacertidae. The record is from the annotation of a GenBank genome assembly.